RNAcentral lists this long non-coding RNA (608 nucleotides) under Heterocephalus glaber (naked mole-rat). Its description in RNAcentral is "lncRNA (ENSHGLG00100048426.1)". Lineage: Eukaryota; Metazoa; Chordata; Mammalia; Rodentia; Bathyergidae. The record is from RNAcentral.
UAUUUUUGCAUUUUCCAUGUGGGAAAACUGAAGCUCAGAGAGAGGCUGGUUGGAAAUCCAUCUCUGGUUCCUCUGAACCCAAAGCUUAUAUUCUUCCUCCAAGCCAGUGUUUCUCAAAGUGUUCCCUGCAGACCAACAGUCCCUGGGAGCUGGUUCAACCCGCAGCGCUGUCGCAGACUCCCUGGGCCUGCAGCAACCCCGCUGGAAACUAUUGUUCUGCACUAGACUGCACUCCUUCCUGUGUGCUUCCUGUAGAAACCCUGGAAAUGGCAGCCAGCAUGUGGAACCCUGGGCCAGGCCCUCGGUGCUUUCAUGUUUGGGAUUUGAAUCUGACCCUCAGUGCUCCCUGCAGGUGGAUGGGGAAGGUCUUAGAUGAGGGUAUUUUUAUAACCCCACAUUGCGGAUGACCAAAGUGACACAGAAGUUAGGCAACCUGUUCAAGAGGAACCUGAGCCUUGGGUGCUGAUGAAAUCCGUGCAAGGGUUAGAACAGUGCGUCCUUCCAAGAGCUGAUGCCCAUUUCUCGAAUCUCUCACAAUCUUCUGUGUUGCUCUCUGUAUAAUGCAGUGCCUCGUAUCCCACAAACAACAUUGCAAAGCCAAACAAGGA